UGGAAUGUCAGAUAUCCUGCAUAUCAGA
RNAcentral lists this non-coding RNA (28 nucleotides) under Rattus norvegicus (Norway rat). Lineage: Eukaryota; Metazoa; Chordata; Mammalia; Rodentia; Muridae. The record is from RNAcentral.